Daphnia pulicaria is the source of this 1641-nucleotide long non-coding RNA. RefSeq lists it as uncharacterized. The record is from RefSeq and is a predicted model, not a curated record. NCBI's taxonomy places the organism in Eukaryota, Metazoa, Arthropoda, Branchiopoda, Diplostraca, Daphniidae. The transcript has 8 exons.
AGGAAAACUAUUUGUUUCGCAAGAUGUUUCGCUCUUUAGUAUGCCCUCCGGCAUUUGGUCCCGCGAAACGGUCCCAAAAUUUUGGUCCGUUUCGCACAGCUUUUCCGCAUUUUAGGCGUUUCGCGUUUCGCGUUUCGCUUUCGCAGUUUAGGGACGCCCUUGUUAGUGCAUGAAGUACAGCUGGCAGUCCCUUCAUGGUUACUGUUGUGUCUUACGUUUCGAUGCAGUACUUAACCUAUAAAGUGAUCUAUUAAGUAUUUCAAAGUGUUUGUUAAGUAGCAUAAUGUUGUAAAGCAGAUAAGCUUUGACAAUUUUCAUCGGUCGUUGUCUUGUAGAUUCCAUGAAAGUCAUGCAUAUUCAAAGUUGGCUCAGUUAAAGGCUAAUCCAUGUGAAAUAUGAAUUGAAAGAUCUUAACUGUUCUCCUGCUAACAGUUGUAUGCCUAGUGAAUUAAUUAAACAGUCCAUGUGGGAAAAAUAUUUAAUAAUCCAGACUGUUCAUCUAUUACCAGUUUUAUAUGAAGUAAAUUUAGACUGACGUCUGACACAAAGGCAAAAUAUCCAACUAAAAUUCUCUUCAUAUUUGUGGUGUGAUGAUCAGAUAUAUAUGGAAAAUAUUCUAGGGAAUGACGCCUCAAAAGAAAAAACUGUUGUUGCAAUCUUCAACAAUCUUGCUAAGUCUCGAUUAGCUAGAGCAGGGAUCCUUUUCAUUUUACUGUUUUAAAUUUUAAACAUUUGUUCUUUACAACGCUAGAUGGUUAUACGAUGGCUUAGAUUGUUUUCAGCGGUAAAAAACAUUAGUUUCAGUGUUUCAGUUACUUUUCCUAUACACUUUUCUUGUUUGUUUGCAAAACUGAAAAAAAUCAUCGAAGAAUUCUUCGUCAACGUCAAUUUUGUUAUGCCUAAAAACAGUGCAGGAAGAAUUCAUCCCGUUAACGCUAUUUCGUGUGCCCUGACACGCAGGAUACGAACUACUUGUAAUCUAAAAUUGAGCGAAGAUGGUGGACAAGAGUAGCAACGCAGAAGCUGCUCACCUCUGGAAGCUGGCGUUGAGCGAAUGAAAUCAAAACGAAUUUCGAUGCUGAAAGACUUGGAAACCAUGCUGUCCACCACAUCGAGAAGCUGAGUAACAUUCUGCUUGUGCAAUGGUGCCUCUUAAUAAAAGGAACUUGAGCCAUCCAAUCUAGGGCUUCCUUCCAAUCGUGCAGGCUUCAUGGAAGUCACAUUUACCUUUGCUGUGAACAUCGUGAACACAUACACUAUUUGAAGGUUCAUGUUUAUGGAGCAGUGGUGUUGCUGUCCAAUGUGGUGUGUUGUUGCAGCCUAUGGUGGUGAAAGAUAUCUGCAUCAAGUUGCUGUUCCUUUGUGCAUCCAAGGUGCUGGUUUUGUGCUACAGAAGUGACAUCCAAUAUUGUGUUCAAUUGCUAUUUGUGCCUUCGCAGUUUAUCUUUAUAUAUUGAGAAGGAACAAAAAAAAGUAUUACGGGGAGGUUUAUGUCAAAGAAAUAAUAAACAUGUCCGGGAUGGGGGAAUGAGGAGGAAGUUGGGGUGGGGUAUUUGGUUAUGAUUUACUAAAAGAAGUGAGGUAUAUUUGUAAUGAAUAUGCAGUACUUGGUGAUAAAAUCUGUUGUUAACCUAUACCUUC